GGCAACUUAACUCAGUAGGUAGAGCGUUGGUAUGAAGUACCAAGUUAGUGGUGGUUCGAUUCCACCAGUUGCCG
This 74-nucleotide transfer RNA is filed under the name Lactobacillus gasseri. RNAcentral describes it as "tRNA-Phe". It matches the Rfam family "tRNA". From Rfam's summary of the family: Transfer RNA (tRNA) molecules are approximately 80 nucleotides in length. Their secondary structure includes four short double-helical elements and three loops (D, anti-codon, and T loops). RNAcentral also lists the same sequence under 1 other name. Lineage: Bacteria; Bacillati; Bacillota; Bacilli; Lactobacillales; Lactobacillaceae. The record is from RNAcentral.